CCCUUAGAUGUCCUGGGCCGCACGCGCGCUACACUGACUGGUUCAACGAGUUUAUUCCUUGCCCGAUGGGGCUGGGUAAUCUUUUAAAAGCCAGUCGUGCUGGGGCUUGACAAUUGCAAUUAUUUGUCACCAACGAGGAAUUCCUUGUAAGCGCAAUUCAUCAGAUUGCGUUGAAUACGUCCCUGCCCUUUGUACACACCGCCCGUCGCUCCUACCGAUUGGAUGGUCCGGUGAGGUCUACGGAUUGGCACAGAUGGCGUGGCAACACGACGCUGAGCCGAGAAGUUGAUCAAACCUUAUCAUCUAGAGGAAGGAAAAGUCGUAACA
Molecule: ribosomal RNA, 327 nt
Filed under: uncultured eukaryote
Lineage: Eukaryota
Description: partial 18S ribosomal RNA
Rfam family: Eukaryotic small subunit ribosomal RNA
Source: RNAcentral